CACUUCUAAGGAAGGCAGCAGGCGCGCAAAUUACCCAAUCCUGACUCAGGGAGGUAGUGACAAGAAAUAACAAUAAACCGGCUUAUGCCGGUUUAAUUGGAAUGAGUACAAUUUAAACAUCUUAACGAGGAACAAUUGGAGGGCAAGUCUGGUGCCAGCAGCCGCGGUAAUUCCAGCUCCAAUAGCGUAUACUAAAGUUGUUGCAGUUAAAAAGCUCGUAGUUGGAUUUCUGUGGGGACGGAGCGGCCGGCCGCAACACGCGGUUCGAGCUAGCGCUUUCCCUACAUCCUGCCGCGAACCGUGCUACCAUUAGUUUGGUGGCGCCGGGGAUCGGCUCGAUUACUUUGAGAAAAAUAGAGUGUUCAAAGCAGGCCACACGCCUUGAAUAAGUUAGCAUGGAAUAAUAACUAAGGACUUCGGUUCUAUUUUGUUGGUGUUCGGGACUGAAGUAAUGAUUGAUAGGGACAGUUGGGGCGGUCUGUAUUCCAAAGCGAGAGGUGAAAUUCUUAGACCUUCGGAAGACAAACAGCUGCGAAAGCGUUCCGCAAGGAUGUUCCCUUUGAUCAAGAACGAAAGUUGGGGGAUCGAAGACGAUCAGAUACCGUCGUAGUCUCAACUAUAAACUAUACCAGCUAGGGAUCGGCCAACGUUAUUUUAUACCGACUUGGUCGGCACCUUAUGAGAAAUCAAAGCAUCUGGGUUCCGGGGGGAGUAUGGUCGCAAGGCUGAAACUUAAAGGAAUUGACGGAAGGGCACCACCAGCCGUGGAGCCUGUGGCUUAAUUUGACUCAACACGGGAAAACUUACCAGGUCCAGACAUAGUAAGGAUUGACAGAUUGAUAGCUCUUCUUGAUUCUGUGGGUGGUGGUGCAUGGCCGUUCUUAGUUGGUGGAGUGAUUUGUCUGGUUAAUUCCGUUAACGAACGAGACCCCAGCCUGCUAAAUAGCGCGUGUGAGCUUUGCUCGCAGCGAGCUUCUUAGAGGGACUAUGAUGCGCGAUAGCACAUGGAAGUUUGGGGCAAUAACAGGUCUGUGAUGCCCUUAGAUGUUCUGGGCCGCACACGGGCUACACUGGCGCCUGCAACGAGCAUAUCAGCUGGCCCGAGAGGGUCUUGGCUAAUCUUUUGAACCGGCGCCGUGCUUGGGAUUGACCUUUGCAAUUGUUGGUCAUGCAACGAGGAAUGCCUUGUAAACGCGAGUCAUCAGCUCGCAUUGAAUACGUCCCUGCCCUUUGUACACACCGCCCGUCGCUCCUACCGAUGAAUGUUCCGAUGAAAUUUUCGGAGAGCACCUGUGAACUUGGCUCUGCCUUGCGAACGGGAGGCUCAAAGUCACUUAAAUCUGAACAUUUCGAGG
RNAcentral lists this ribosomal RNA (1355 nucleotides) under uncultured marine eukaryote. Its description in RNAcentral is "SSU rRNA". It matches the Rfam family "Eukaryotic small subunit ribosomal RNA", at positions 411 to 1779 of the family's 1831-position model. The record is from RNAcentral.